RNAcentral lists this ribosomal RNA (884 nucleotides) under uncultured archaeon. RNAcentral describes it as "bacterial SSU rRNA". It matches the Rfam family "Archaeal small subunit ribosomal RNA", at positions 455 to 1337 of the family's 1478-position model. The record is from RNAcentral.
GUGGCAGCCGCCGCGGUAAAACCAGCACCUCAAGUGGUCAGGAUGAUUAUUGGGCCUAAAGCAUCCGUAGCCGGCUUUGUUAGUUUUCGGUUAAAUCCAUGUGCUCAACACAUGGGCUGCCGAAAAUACUGCAUGGCUAGGGAGUGGGAGAGGUAGACGGUACUCAGUAGGAAGGGGUAAAAUCCUUUGAUCUAUUGAUGACCACCUGUGGCGAAGGCGGUCUACCAGAACACGUUCGACGGUGAGGGAUGAAAGCUGGGGGAGCAAACCGGAUUAGAUACCCGGGUAGUCCCAGCUGUAAACGAUGCAGACUCGAUGAUGCAUUGGCAUAAUAGCCAGUGCAGUGUCGCAGGGAAGCCGUUAAGUCUGCCGCCUGGGAAGUACGUACGCAAGUAUGAAACUUAAAGGAAUUGGCGGGGGAGCACCACAAGGGGUGAAGCCUGCGGUUCAAUUGGAGUCAACGCCAGAAAUCUUACCCGGAGAGACAGCAGAAUGAAGGUCAAGCUGAAGACUUUACCAGACAAGCUGAGAGGUGGUGCAUGGCCGUCGCCAGCUCGUGCCGUGAGAUGUCCUGUUAAGUCAGGUAACGAGCGAGAUCCCUGCCACUAGUUGCUAUCAUUAUUCUCAGGAAUAGUGGGGCGAAUUAGUGGGACUGCCGUUGUUAAAACGGAGGAAGGAAGGGGCUACGGCAGGUCAGUAUGCCCCGAAACUCUGGGGCCACACGCGGGCUGCAAUGGUAGUGACAAUGAGUUCCAAACUCGAAAGAGAGUGGCAAUCUCUAAACGCUACCACAGUUAUGACUGAGGGCUGUAACUCGCCCUCACGAAUAUGGAAUCCCUAGUAACCGCGUGUCAUUACCGCGCGGUGAAUACGUCCCUGCUCCU